RNAcentral lists this ribosomal RNA (253 nucleotides) under uncultured bacterium. RNAcentral describes it as "partial 16S ribosomal RNA". It matches the Rfam family "Bacterial small subunit ribosomal RNA", at positions 524 to 776 of the family's 1533-position model. The record is from RNAcentral.
UACGGAGGGUGCAAGCGUUAUCCGGAUUCACUGGGCUUAAAGGGUGCGUAGGCGGGCUAGUAAGUCCGUGGUGAAAUCCCUGAGCUUAACUUGGGAACUGCCAUUGAUACUAUUAGUCUUGAAUAUCGUGGAGGUAAGCGGAAUAUGUCAUGUAGCGGUGAAAUGCUUAGAUAUGACAUAGAACACCAAUUGCGAAGGCAGCUUGCUACACGGUCAUUGACACUGAGGCACGAAAGCGUGGGGAGCAAACAGG